GAGGUAGAACUAAGACAGGCAAGGACAGCCCAGGAGAUGCGGGGGCCAGAACUAUGUAGGGCCAGGGGUAGAAGUAGGAGUAGAACCAAGAGUAGGGCCAAGAGCAGAACUAAGAGUAGAGCCAAGAGUAGAACUAAGAGCCAAGAGUAGGACUAGAUAGAACCCAAGAGUAGAACUAGGAGUGAGCCAGGAAGUAGAACUAAGAGUAGGGCAGAAGUAGAAGCUAAGAGUAGGGCCAGGAGUAGAACUAAGAGUAGAGGUCAGGAGUCAGAAACUAAAGAGUAGAGCCAGAGCAGGGCCACGGAGUAGGCCAAGAAGAUAAGACACUAAAGAGCAGGAAACGCAGGAGUGGGGCCAGGACUACGUAUGGCCAGGGGUAGAAGUAGGAGUAGAACCAAGAGUAGGGCCAAGAGUAGAACUAAGAGUAGAGUCAAGAGUAGAACUAAAGAAGGUAGGCCAAGAGUAGGAACUAAAGAGUAAGAAGCCAAAGAGUAGGACUAGGAGUAGGAAACCAAGAGUAAGAACUAAGGGUAGACGCCAGGAGUAGAAACUAAGAGUAAGGCCCAGGAGUAGAAACUAAGAGUAGGGGCCAAGAGUAAAGAAACUAAGAGUAAGAGCAUGGAGUAGAACUACGAAGUAGAGCAAGAGGCAGGGGGCCAGGAGUAAAGAGCCAAGAGUAGAAGCUAAGAGCAGGAACCAGGAGUGGGGCUAGGGACUACGUAGGGCCAGGGGUAGAAAUAAGAGUAGAGCCAAGAGUAGAACUAAGAGUAGAGCCAAGAGUAGGGCAGGAAUAGGGCCAAAGAGUAGAACUAAGAGCAGGACCAGAAGUGGGGGCCAGGACUAUGUAGAGCCAGGAGUAGAAAUAAGAGUAGAACCAAGAGUAGAACUAAGAGUAGAGCCAAGAGUAGAACUAAGAGCAGGACCAGGAGUGGGGCCAGGACUACAUAGAGCCAGGUGUAGAAAUAAGGGUAGAACCAGAGUAGAACUAAAGAGCCAAGAGUAGGGCCAGGAGUAGAACUAGGAGUAGGGCCGGUAGUAGAACUAAGAGUAGGGCCAGGAGUAGAACUAAGAGCCAAGAGUAGGCUCCAAAGAGUCAGACGUCAGGAGUAGAACUAAGAGCCAAGAGUAGACUGAAGGAGUUAAGGAGUCAGGAGUAGAACUAAGAGUAGGGCCAGGAGUAGAACUAAGAGUAGGGCCAAGAGUAGAACUAAGAGUAGAGCCAGGAGUAGAACUAAGAGUAGAGCCAAGAGCAGGGUCCAGAGUAGGAGCAAGAAGUAGAACUAAGAGCAGGACAGGAGUGGGCCAGAAUAUGUAGGGCCAGGGGAGAAGUUAAGAGUAGAAC
This 1342-nucleotide long non-coding RNA is filed under the name Coturnix japonica (Japanese quail). RNAcentral's name for it is "lncRNA (ENSCJPG00005002221.1)". Lineage: Eukaryota; Metazoa; Chordata; Aves; Galliformes; Phasianidae. The record is from RNAcentral.